AGGGUAAGGGUUGGGAUUUUGGGUUGAUUUUUUUUGGUUUGCAAUAUUGUAUUUUUUGUUUGAGUUUGGUUUUUGAUUGAGAAGAGUUGGGACUGUUAAUAAAAUAAUAUGGCGGCAGGGCGACCUGAUGUUUCUAGGAGAAGGGAGUAUUAUGGAUACUACAAAAAAGAUGAAUAAGUUUCUCGUUACAAAAAUGGCUCUGGUAAAUUAUGAAUUGGGUCAUAAUGGUGGUGAUCACAAGCGGAGAAAUGGCUACCCUUUUUUGUCAAACGGCUAUAACCAACGUGGUGAAGCCCGGUCAGAUGACACACCAUGUAUCAAUAAUGGUGAAGUGUCGAAGUGUGACGAUGGGGUCUUCAGUUGCCUUGCCUCCGAGGAAGAAAUUCAAGUUUACACCCAUUAUAUGGGACUUAGAAGAGAGGAAGUGAGCAUUUCGCCUAAGAACAGAGCUGUACCUACAACUUGUAGGCCAAGUUUGUUCAAUCUUAGGAGUCUGGAUUUGAUUUUGUUAAACAAACUUUUGACUUACGACCCUGAGAAGUCAUGGUCUGUUUUGACAUAGUUCUAAAUUUGAUUUCUGAUUGUUGGCUUCAAGUCCAAACCUGUAAAGGCAUUUUAGUUAUGGUAUUUUAUUGUUUUAUGCAGCAAAUAACAGUAGAUGACGCCCUUAAUCACUCAUGCCUAUAUAAUCCAGAAAACUUUUUGAUCAAGAAUGUUGUUGAAGAGGCGUACUGAGACUCUGGAUUCAGAGAUUGCACAUUGGCGACAGUCGAUAAAAGCGCAUGUUUUCUGUGGCAUGCCAUUAAAGAGGCACUUCUAUUAAUUGCAUGGGUGUGAACCAACUACAUGGACGCGUGAUUGGGACUCCAAAAUAGAUUGAGUAUCAUUUCAUUUUUUUUUUAACCCUUUUCUGAUCUUUGUUAGGAAUAUUGAAUUCUGUACUAAUGUUUUGCGAAUCCCGAUGUAUGCAUAGAAAUGUAGGAGCUACCUGUUCUGUGUGACAAAAAGGAUUAAAGGAAAAGAAAUGGACAUUACUUCGGGUUUCUGUCUGUGAUCUCCAAGUCUGUAUGUCAAUGGAGCUCGUCUCUUUGCUUGAGUCAUGGUUUCCCCCUGGUUUGAUGAUUAGUUUUACUAAAUCAUUUCUUUGUACGUAUUCUGGUUAGAUUAUUGAGAGGGAAAAAAACUGAAUACUGAACAGUGUUAUGAUCAAAAUGUUAUUCAUUAGUGACUAACAGAGGAAUUGAUGCAUUUAGCGGGGAACAUGUUACAGACAUCAAUACAUUUGAGGUAACGAAAAUGCAAUAUUCUUUCCCGUGUUUGGUAAUGCACUUCGACAAAAUAUGUAUCACUAUCAUAAACUCUCUGCAUCAGUCAUUUUCGACAAGCAACAGGAUAUAUCUAAACUGACUGCACUCAGGCCUUCACUCUGUUACCGAUGAAGCAGGUGUUGGGGACAUCAGAAGAAGAGGAAAAACAAUGUGCAAAUUUGGGUGGGUUUUCUGAAUGAUCUCGUAUAAAUAUCAUUUGGUAGUAAAGCUUAUGGUUUUUCAAAGCGCAAAAAAAAAAAAAAAAAAAAAAAAAAGAACGAGGCAGUUGGAUGAAGAAUAUUGUAUUGAUGAGAGUCCAAUCAAUUGUCCAUCCAAAUACAAUGGCUCCACCGGGACUGGAUUGCAAAUAUGUUACUGCAGAAUCAAAGAAAUUAGUUCGAGUAAACAUCAUAUGUAGAUACAUAAUGGAGAACUACUUAAAGCUACAAAGAAAAAUCAUCAUGACUAUGAAGGCAAGAUGGAUUGACGACGCACCAUACUAAUCACAAGGCAUUUUAAUAGCAGACAGUGAUUAAAGAUGAAACGGUAACUUCAGCUUUUCUUUUUCCAGUAAAUAUCUCUCUGACAUUUUGUAGUGUGUAUCAGAUGAACUAAAAGGAAAAGGAAAAUUUUCAUGAAAAGGCAUGAGAUGAUAUUCCAAGACUUUUAUCCCGAUCUAUAUGUCAAUUUUGGGCACCCAUAACAUUUCUUUUGAAUUACCUGAAUUCAAGAGAAAUCUGUGUGAACCCCAGUAGUAACACUAAGGGGUUGAUUAGAUGCCUGCCGACAUCAAAACGAGUUUCUUUAGAUCAAACCAGGUGGAAGAGAGAACUUAUGUCGGUCAUUUAACUAAGACAGGGUCUGUAUGCAGGCAAAUGCAAGAGUACUGAUGCAAAUAAGAGACUAAAAGUUAAAACAACGCAUAAAGCCCUCAACCAUGUAGAAUUGUCCACUUCUGAACUUCUUCCAUACAAUGGAGAUUCACUGAAGAGAAAAAUCAAGUCCCUUUACCAGUAAGGUUGACACUUGGCAGUGUCUAAGGGCAACCCUCAAUGGGUAGCUGAGAUCACAAGUUCUAGACGGUAGUUGAGAUAACAAGUUUUAGACGGUGUAAUUAUUGUAGCAAAACCAUGACCAGGACAAAGCUAUGGAAUCAUUUAAUAACAAUCCAACGACAGGUUCUUUGGAUUACUGAUAACAUAUUCAAGGAAUAAGGAUUGAUUCAAGUCAUAGGCAACUAAAUCUGGAAGAAUUAAAAUCACAUUCUUAAUGUAGGUAUUGAGCUUGAUGGAGAGGCAGUCUCUAGGCUAUCCCUGCUAUUUGUCGUUCCCAGAUGAGAAGCAUCACUGGGGGCUGCAUGUGACUGAAGCAUGCCAUCUGCGAGCAACAGAUCCAAGAUCCUGCAUUCAGGCAAAUAAUUAUUCCAAUGAGCUCAAUAAUAGUGGAAACCUGCAAAAAUCAAAAUUAAGAAGCAUGAGUUUGCAAAGCUAACACAGAUUUCUGAGAACUGAAUUUCUAGACAGAAAUUAACGAAACUUUCAUUGACAAUAAUAUCAUCCAAGUUUAAUCUAUUUAUGACUUGCAACUUUACAAAGUGUCUGAGCACUUACUGCAAAAUCACCGCCAUUAACAAAACUGACGAUUCCACUUUUCCCUAUGGUUUCCAACAGAGCCACAAAUUGAGUUGCUGUCACAACCAAGAACUCUAGAAGCAGAAAUAUCCAGAACCUGUGGCUUAUCUUAGAGAGAUUGUAUUUUAAAAGCGUGUGUUCCUACCGAAACAUCUAAAUCUCUUUCCAAAAGAUUGCCAUAAUUUUCAAAGUGAAUCACCUGCAAAUUGCACACAAAAUGGAACAAAGCAGUGCCUGAUAGAUAGAUUAGAGUCGAGUAAGUCCAUGAUACAAGCAAUGCAACUACUACACCAACAGAUUGCCACCAGGAACUUAAUAUUAAAAAUAAUAAUUACGUUUUAUCUUUCUAAACACCUAAGCAAUUAAGUAUCAUAUUACCACCACAACUAUUGUAAAUUCUCACCAGUAUUAAAGUUUUGAUCUAUUAAGUUCAUAAUUUUUAUAUUUUAUUUUUAUUCUCUAUUAUAGGAUUUAAUGAUCCUUGCAUGUGACUAUGUAAAAUUUUUUGAAUUAUGAAUAAUUUCACAUGAAAUUUAAUCACGACUUUUAAGUUCAAUUUCAUAAACACAACUUUUAACACUCACUCUAUUUAUAUAUAUUUUUUUCUAUAGUUAUGGUAUUUAUUGCAACAAGUUUAAUGUGAAUAUAAUAUAUAUUACCUUUUAUUUUAUUUGAAUUAUGUAUUAAUAUAGAUUUUUAUCAUAUUUUAUGUAACAAAUUGUGAAGUUCAUCAUAUUUUAUUUAAUUAAAUUUUUGUCACUUUAUGUAAUUUUAUAUGGUUUAAAAAGAAAAAGACAUGUUUUAAAAUAAUUAAACAUACUAAAAAAUAAUUUAAAAUUAUAUAUAUUUUAAUCAUUAUACAAUAGAAAAACACUUUUGUAAAAAUAAUUACCAAACGCACGUACAUUGUUUUUAAACUAACAACAACUAUAGAACACAAUUUAUCAAACAUUAAACUAUUUUUUCAAUCAGUAGCUUAUUGUAUUGAUGCAGUAGAAAUAAUUUAUUUAAUCAACAACUGCAAUCCCAAACUGGCCCUCAAUCUUAUAAAUGAUAUUGAUCGAAAUGAUUUUAGACAUGGUGUUCUGUGUUCAAAUACUAAUGAAUAAUAUUAUUGACAUAGCUAGCAUCUGAUUCUUAUAAGCAGGGUUUGUUGCAAUCAAAAUGCUUUUACACCUGGUAGCAAAUCCAUGAAUGAAAUGUUGUUCAUCCAGAACAGUGCAAUGAUGAAAUAACAAGCGAUUGAUCUUUUAUUAUUGCAAUUAGGGUAAUUGUACACACAAUUAGCCAUUUAUUCAGAGUCUAGAUGAUCCCUUGGGAUGACGCAUGACUAUGAAUGUAGAGGCUUUGCACUGUCCGGAGAACAUCUUGCAAGCGACCCACAAAUCUGGGUGUCUCUGGAAUUAAUUGGGAUGUAAAAGGCUUAACUAAUUUCCUGGACUGUUAGAUCCAACUCAUUUGGGCUUCAAAUUCACUUCAAGCCUCAUGUGUAACGAGUAUAUCGGACCAAUUAUUUCGAUUAAAAGAGAAAAGGACAUACCAAUAAUGUUAUAUAAAAUUUAAGGGUAAUUUUCAGUGUCAUCCCCUGAGAUUUGGGGUCCCUUCACUUAGAUAGAAUGUAUCAAGGUAUCUCCACUUUGCACCCCCAUCGUUAGUAUAAAGUUUAAUAUAUAUUAAGUAUGUAAGGACAUUUAAGUAAUUGUAUGUUAAAUUGAUUAAAUAUUAAAAAACGUUUUGAAUUUUUUCACUUUGGAAAGUGGAAUAUGUUAGAAACAUUGUUAUGUUCAAUGGGUAAUAAUAGAAGCAUGUUAGUAUUACAUGGGUUUUACACCAAAUCUAAAAGAAUCAAUAUUUGCUGGGUAAUAACAUAUUCAUGUAAGUGUAGGGUUACCAAAUCUAAAAUAAUCAAUAUCUGCUGGGUAAUAAGAUAAGCAUGUUAUUGUUCAACGGAUUUUACACUAAAUUGAAAACAAUAAUUUGUUUAAUUUGUUUAAUUUUUAACUUCACAAAUCGAAAAAGCAAAUUCAUAUCACCAUUACAGCUCCAGAGCGAAUUCCUUGCUGUGACAAACAAAAUUAUUGGGACUGUAUGAAAAAGCCAUGCAAGAGAAGGAUGAAUUCAAAAGAAUGAUUUCUUUAAGUGGACAAAACAGAGCUGAAGCAAGCAGAGAGAUUUAUUGCCCAGAAAAGCUCGUUGAAAUUGAUGGAGGUAAGCAGCACAUCACGUCUGUUGAACCUGGUCUCCCAGCAUUGAAUGGGCAGGAUAGAGGAGAAAAUUCUAGAUUUGAAAAUCUUAAGUCUGGAGAGAGCAUUUCCAGAAUGGAUGUGCAUAAUGAAUUUAGCCUAUAUACUGGGAAUUCUCAAGCUAAUAAAGAAACUCACAUCAGUUCUUAAGUUGAAGGUCUCCAUUCGUCAGAAAAAACUCCUGAUUCUGCAGAAGCUGCCUUACUGACAUGGAAACAGAGCAGUUGAAUCUUACUAACAUAAAGGUCCCUGAAGAUCUAAAUUUGGUCAGACUGAAGCUGGAAAAAGCCCAAGAGAAGCUUUCAGAUUCUGCUAAUACUAUUACUCUUGUAGUGAUUUAACACCCCUUAAGAUUCAAGAUGCUAAGCCACUGCCCAGGAGACUCAAGUUCUUGAUCAAACAAGUUGCAUAAGAAACCAAGAUCAGAUAUCUAGUAUUCAACUCAAUUCCAAUAGGCUCUAGAUCUAAUGAUUAAUAACAGUGUUUUAACCUAAACAAGAAACAAUUCACAACACGCAAGAACAGAAUAUUACGUGGUUCAAUUGUGCAUUACAUGCACAAUUUACAUCCACGGGAAAAGCCACAGGAAAAGCUUUAUUGAUGAAUCAAGAAGACAAAUACAGAACUUCUCAAGAUGAGAUUACAAGCAUCAAGAUUACACUCUCUCACUUUCUGAUCUCUCUCUCAAGCUCUUUCUGAACCACGUAUUUCUCCCUCAGCGACCAGUUUUAUACCCCUGAUGCUGAAACCCAGAUCGCACAGAAUCUGGACACGUGUGUAACGGCUUUUAACAGCCUUGAUUCCCCUCUUCACGAGCUGGCUCACGUGCUUCACUUUUGUUUCUCCAAAACGACAGAUGCUGAGUCGUUUAGCCUUUGAACUUAAAAGCCACGUGCUGCACGUGACAAAUGACUGAAUCAUUUGAUUAAAACAAACCGUUUUGGGACUCUGAGUUUUGGAUUCAUUGCACUCAAGUCCACAACUCUAUUAGGUUCGGUUGAGAAAGCAUUCGCUGAGGUUGAUAAACUCUCUGGAGAUAUUGUAGCUAUGGAAGAUAGUAUCCAGGCCAAGCAACAACAGUGCGGUUCCCUCAAACACCUUUGUUCUGAAAUGCAAGAGAGAAAAGCGCUUGUGGAUAAUAAAUUGAUGGCACUCAAGUAUUCUUUGUCAAGUUUUUCUUCAUCGGCAGCAUACUUUGAACAGAGAGCAGCUCGAUCAAGAGCUAGGGUAACUACUUCAUCGACUUACCUGAAUCAGAGAAAAGAGCAAUUGGUGCAUUUGGAAUGCUGCAAGAGAGAAAUUGAAGAUGCUCUAAGAAAGGUUCAACGAUCUGAAGCUGAAUUGAUGAAUAACCUUGCACUUUUGAAGUCAAAACUUGAGGAAGAGAACAAAAGGGAAGAGAACAAAAGGCAAGAGAAUAAAAAGGUUCUUUUUGCUAUAGAUAACAUUGAAAAAGUAGACCAUCCACAGAUUGGAAUUUGGGUGGUAAAGCUACUGGGUUGCUGAAGUCCAAGGAAGAGAAAACCAAGCUGCAAACUGAGUUGAAGUUGUGUCGGGAAAGGCUUGGACUUGUAAAAAGGGAAUUUGAGGAUUUGACUAAGAAAUCCUGGAAGAUAGAUAGUGACUUGCAAACUGUUCAAAUGGAGAUACAGAAAAGUUCAAGAUCCGUCGAAGAGAUGGAACUUGCACACCAGGCUGUACUCCAAGAACAAAAAGCUCUUUUGGAGAUUAGAGAGAAGGGAAAAACAGAAAUCGAAAGCAUGAUUCUUUUUUUUUUUUUUCCUUGGGUGCUGAUACAACAAAUGAUAAGUGUAUUUGUCAUGGAUUUGAUUGAGAUCUUGAUGUAAUUUGUCGCUAAAUGUGUGAAUGAUCUAGUCACAGUACAUAUCUAGAAUAUUGUGUACUGACAUAAAGGUAUUUUAGUUAUUUACUCAGUCAAUUAACAGUCAACUAAACUUUAUACUAACGGUGGGGGUGCAAAGUGAAAAUAUCUUAAUACAUUCUAUCUAAGUGAAGGGACCCCAAACCUCAGGGGAUGGAACUGAAAAUUACCCUAAAAUUUAAUUAUUAUGACUAAAUGGGAAAUUACAAACAAAGCAAAGACUAAAUGGGCCAGAAACAGAAAAACGGAAAGUAUUGUGGAAGGAAAAAAAUUUCAGAACAAAUUCGGGCCACCAGUUCUAAACCGACUUAAAAAAAUACACGCUCUUGCGCAUAUAAAAAAUCUCAAGAGAUCCCCUAGAACGCAAACGCGUUGACUAAGAAGCUCCGUAGCUGUGCGAUAUCGUUUCGAUUUGGUCCUGAUAUCGUUGGUCCUGAUAUCGUUGGUCAUUCCCUUGUCUCUCCAUCAAUCUCCGGUAAGAUCUUCAUUACCUGUGAAUUUUGAAGGAGAGACAGCCGUAAGCACCAAAAUUCAUCUUCUAGGGUUUUGUUUGUGCUUUGAUUCGCAUCUCAAUUUUUUUUUUUAAUUUUUUACCUUCAUUAAUCAUCAUAAUUUGUUUGAUUUCAAUACCUGAUCUGUAUUCUUGAUCUGAUUUUCGUGUUUUUGACUAUUGAAGUAUUGUUGUAUACUUGAUUAGGGUUUUGUGGGAGGAAAAAGGGGGGAAUUUUAAUUCGGUUUGAAAUUUGUGAAACUGUUGAAUUUCUGAGGGUAAGGGUUGGGAUUUUGGGUUGAAUUGGGUUUCUUUUUCCUUACAAUACCAAUAUUGUAUUUUUUUUGUUUGAGUUUGAUUUUUGAUUGAGAAGAGUUGUGGUUGUUAAUAAUAUGGCGGCAGGGCGACCUGAUGUUUCAAGGAGAAGAGAGUAUUAUGGUUACUACAAAAAAGAUGAACAGGUUGUUCGUUACAAAAAUGGUUCUGGUUAUGAUGAAUUGGGUCAUCAUGGUGGUAAUCACAAGCGCCCUUUUUUGUUAAAUGGGCACAAGAAACG
Molecule: long non-coding RNA, 8109 nt
Filed under: Citrus maxima (pomelo)
Lineage: Eukaryota; Viridiplantae; Streptophyta; Magnoliopsida; Sapindales; Rutaceae
Description: long non-coding RNA (CMAX_LNC002099)
Source: RNAcentral